CCUACGGGUGACUGCAGUGAGGAAUAUUGGUCAAUGGCCGUAAGGCUGAACCAGCAAAGUAGCGUGAGGGAAGAAUGCCCUAUGGGUUGUAAACCUCUUUUAUGCGGGGAAAAAGGUGUCCAAGCGUGGAUGUUUGCAGGUACUGCAUGAAUAAGGACAGGCUAAUUCCGUGCCAGCAGCCGAGGUAAUACGGAAGGUACGGGCGUUAUCCGGAUUUAUUGGGUUUAAAGGGAGCGUAGGCCGGUCUUUAAGCGUGCCGUGAAAUUUUGAGGCUCAACCAUGAGAGUGCGGCUCAAACUGGAGACCUUGAGUGCGCGGAAGGCAGGCGGAAUUCGUGGUGUAGCGGUGAAAUGCUUAGAUAUCACGAAGAACCCCAGUUGCGAAGGCAGCCUGCCGCAGCGUUACUGACGCUGAAGCUCGAAAGCGCGGGUAUCGAACAGGAUUAGAUACCCGGGUAGUC
This 460-nucleotide ribosomal RNA is filed under the name uncultured bacterium. RNAcentral's name for it is "partial 16S ribosomal RNA". It matches the Rfam family "Bacterial small subunit ribosomal RNA", at positions 338 to 795 of the family's 1533-position model. The record is from RNAcentral.